Molecule: ribosomal RNA, 60 nt
Filed under: Meloidogyne graminicola
Lineage: Eukaryota; Metazoa; Nematoda; Chromadorea; Rhabditida; Meloidogynidae
Description: partial 28S ribosomal RNA
Source: RNAcentral
CUGAACUCAGUCGAGAUCCCCCGCUGACUUUAAUGAUAUAAUUAAGCGGAGGAAAAGAAA